UCCGCCCGGUCGGCCCUCUGCCAGCCACUGUUCCUUGUCAGCCGCCAAGCUGGGGUGCAGUCCAGGACAUUGUGUCCAGAGAGAGGUCCCGGCCCCCCACAGCGUGGCACUGACCCACCCACCCCAGGCCUUGAGCCAGGCUGGUCUAUCCCCAGCCCUGGCAUGGACUGGAGGCCAGAGCUGCCCUUGCAGAGGCUGGAGAGUGCCCAUCUUGCAGCCUUGCCUGACUCUAUGGGGACAAGCCAGAGUCCAUGGGUCAGGCUCCCAGGUGCCUCUCGGGGGCAGCCUACCAGGCUCCUGAGACGCCUGCUUUUCUGCCCUUGGCAUUUGUGCUGUUGGACCAAGUUUCUUCCCAUUUGGUCAACAGAAUCUUACAUCGGAGAGUGGGGACUGUUUAGAACUGUGUCAGCAUCUAUGGGGGGCUGUGUGCUGCUUUAUUUUUUCCCUUGUGGCGGGGAUGGAGGCCGGGGCCGCAUGCACUGGGGCAAACCGCUGCUGACAGCUGCGCCCUGGUCCCUGGACUCUGUGUUGAAUGCUGAGUAUGGACCGUGGAACAGAGGAGACGAAGGGAAGCUGAAGAGGACCCGGAUGUCUAGGCCACCUGGCCAGGCCUCUUCUCCAGCCGACUCAGACUUCUUUGCCUGCCAUAGCCCUGCAGGAGUCUGAGGAGGCUCUUGUGCCUUGAGGGAAUCCAGCAGGGCCAGCCUGUCUGUCAUUUCAAUCCCCUUCUCUCCGGGAAAGUUGCCACCCUGCAGGGUCCUCCUCGGCUUCUUCCCGGGGCAGGAAGAAGUGCUGGCCUGCGGAGCAGCUGCAUGGCCUCGUUGGACAGCCCUGCCAUCCCUGUCCUCAUUGUACACAGGGGACAGAUGCAGAGAGAGGUUCAAGGUUACACAGUAAAUUAGCAGCUUCCAUGA
This is a long non-coding RNA of Chinchilla lanigera (long-tailed chinchilla), 914 nucleotides long. RefSeq lists it as uncharacterized. Lineage: Eukaryota; Metazoa; Chordata; Mammalia; Rodentia; Chinchillidae. The transcript is spliced from 2 exons. The record is from RefSeq and is a predicted model, not a curated record.